Long non-coding RNA from Drosophila kikkawai, 2893 nucleotides. RefSeq lists it as uncharacterized. The record is from RefSeq and is a predicted model, not a curated record. Lineage: Eukaryota; Metazoa; Arthropoda; Insecta; Diptera; Drosophilidae.
AGCUGCCAACAACGCUCCAUUCCCAGCCUCAAAAGUCUUGAACCUCACAGCAACCCCCACCAGAAGAAUUCUAAACACAACAAAAAAAUACAGAAAAGCAUCAGCAAAACUAUACUCUAUUAUUCGUUAACAAAUCAGACACGCAAAUGACAUCAACUGGGCAAUUGAGUUUGUUGAAAUUCAACACAAAAAGCCAAUAACAAUGCAAAAUAAUUGCAAUUUAAUUGUGUUCAAUUCAACGGGAAGUGAAUUAUAAAAAGUAUGAAAAAAAACAGCGGAAAAAAAUUGAAAUUACGCAUAUCCCAAAAUUAAUACAAAUUAUACCCAAACCAAAGUCAUUCAAUGUGCAUUCUAUUGUGUGUGGAAAUGAAGAACGGAAGAAAGAGCGAGAGAGCAAAAAGGAUUGGGAAUGCAAAUUUUAAUCUUACAACUAUUUUGAAUACGUGCCCCCCAAAACAAGUGAGUUCCCACUUACAUAAAGAAACAACGCUAAAAAUAUGGCAAAAAAAAAACCAAUAAGGGAAAGCAAUCAGUGGAAAUUACAAAUUUAAAACCAAAAUCAAAAUUGCAUCACUUAAUUUAAACGGAAAAAAGUUCAAAAUCAGCUGAUUAAAAUAAGGGGUGCGCUUGCUGCUCCAACUCCGUCAGCAAGGGAAAUUUAAUUAGCGACACUUCAGUUCAGUUCAGCUGAGCGGCUAAAAACAGCCCCGCCCCCUCUGGAACGAAGGGGGUAAGAAAUGGGCGGAAGGCGAAAUUUCGUUGAUUUCUGCAUGACGACAGCAAAAAGCGAAAAGGCGAAAGGAAACGAGAAACAACAACAACAAUAGUCGGAGUGCAGCGCACACACACACAAACGCCCACACAUUGCACUGCUGCUGCUGCAUAGGAGUGAACGAGAAGGCGAACAUGGCGCGGACAUGCGCUCUCGCUCUUGAACUUGAAAACCGGCAAACGAACGAGAGAGGAGAGCGAGAAAGAGCGACAUCUAAAAGAGAGCUGAGCACAUCAGCGCCCUGUUCACCACCACCACCCCCGCCGACCGCAUACAAGAGCUUUUUCCCGCGGCCACGCUACAUAGCAUAAAUAGCAGCAUAGAAAAUCCCCCGACUUCAUGCCGCCACUCGGGACCUGAAGGUGGCGCUCUUUGAACAAAAGCUCAGCGGAUUUGAAGUUUCUACGAAAAUCCGCAAGAUGGUGAGGCUAAUAGUGGUUUCUGCACAAAAUAUUCAAAAAAUAACAGAACAUUCAGUUUUGUCUUAUCAUCAAUCAUCCAGUAACCGCCGAGAGCCCCGAGAAAUAACCAAAUUAGUGUCAGUAGUCAUCACAAUCAAUCAAACAAUCCAAGUAACCUCAAUUGGCUAUGCGCUUUGGCAGUGUGGUUAGCUGGUUGUGUAGCCAAUUAUUGCCGCAGUCAAUCCCACAGCCACUAUCUUCACUGCCGCCGCGACAAGCUAAAGCAACGUUUAAGAAUAUCAAAAGGGGAUUCACCUGGAAACAGCCGAGAAGAGAGGAGCUCGCCAUUCUCAAUACUUCUAUACAUCGGAUUGCUGCAAUACUACCGUAGAUACUUGGAAUAUUUCAACGCUAACCGGACUUCCUGUAAUACUUCCCAAGGGAAUCUAGUAGAACUAACUAAUCCUAAGCUUGUAACUGUAGUUGCUUAUUAAUAUUAACAAUAAUAAGUCAUCCUAAGGUCACACAAAGCAAUAAAUAAAUCAUAAAUAUUUAUGUAGUGGCAAACUCUAUCUUAUAGAUCUUGAUUUGAAAUCCUUUUUUGAGAAAUCGCAUAUGGAAAUAUUCCUGCUCAAUUGAGAAACCUCCAAGAGGGGUGUACAAAGAGAAGAAAAGUUCGAUAUUAUGUAUUCCUCUAAGUAUCAAGUCAAAAAUAUUGUAAACCUUGAUGUAUCCAAAUUUUAAACGGCGUAAAAUACCGCAUUUAACUUGUAAAUAUCGAUUUUAUCGAAAAAAAUUCAUAAUUCCGAUAAUAUCGAAAAAUAAAUCACUUCUGUUAUCGAAAGAAAAAAUUAAUUUACUUAGAAUCUCAACAAUAAUACAUAGCAGAAUAUCAAAAAUUAAAAUGUCAAUUUUUAUACCGCAUAUAACUUUUAAAUAAAGUUAACGAAAAAUAAUUUAAAUACUCCAUUCGAUAUAUUAAUCAGAAUAUCGAUAUAUCGCAUACAUAUCGCAAAUAAAUCGACUUUCACAUCUUAGUAUCGAUACAUCCCUACCAAGCAGCAAAUUGAAAUAAAUUCGAAUCUCGUUCGGUUUUGAUGGUUUGUGUUUGUUUUAUAUAUAUAAAUUUUAAAUUAAUAAAAUUUACUUGCUAUAUUUCUAUUCUUUAUAAGUUCAUUUUUAUAUAAAUAAUAAUUUUAAAUCGCACAUUCUUCUCAUUAAAUUUAUAUAAUAUUAUGUUUCGUUUACGUUUUAUGCAGUUUUUGUUUCGUUUGUUUAUUUAAUUUGAAUUACACAACAUUACUUUUAUUUAGAAUUAUAUCUUUAUCUGUACUGUUAUCGAUCUCCUUCUGUAUUAUUAUAUGUAUGUUAAAAUGUGGUGUUUCUUACAUAUUAUUGACACUGUAUGUACUUCAAAUUAGUGUGAGAAUUGUUCUGUUUGCUUCUCCACCUUCGACUUGCUGUUAUUUGUUCUUAGAUGGUUUUUAUGCUGGCUUUACAUUGUAUUUAUAUAAUCCUUUUGUGGUUGCUGUGAUCUCCGCUUGCUUGAACUAAUUUCAUUUAAUAAACGUCUAGCACGGCUCGAUGAUUGUGUGUCUCAAUGCUCGACGUGUGACACUUGCUUUAAAUAAUUUAAGAGUAUUUAAUAGAGGACUAAGUUAGUAUACGCUCUGUAGGUUUUGGCCAAGUAAAUUAUAUAUUUAUAAAACAAAAUCAAAUU